Molecule: long non-coding RNA, 250 nt
Organism: Bombus impatiens (common eastern bumble bee)
Lineage: Eukaryota; Metazoa; Arthropoda; Insecta; Hymenoptera; Apidae
Exons: 3
Source: RefSeq, a predicted model, not a curated record
CGUUUGAGUUAGAGCAAGUAUAUCUAUCCUCCCGUUGACCGUGGAUUCGUUAUCAAACCUAAGACCAUUAUCACUAGUGUCGCGAGUGCCUAAUCGCCGCUGUUGAUUGUCGAAUCGGUAGUGUUCAUACUCGUAGUAUCAGGCCGUACCGUCGUUAUAACACAGCGAUGGCCAUUCCAAUGGAGCUCUAGCAAAUGCUCACAACUCUAUUCCUGACGCUUCUCUGACAUAUAUAUUGAAAACCUAAAUG